This 253-nucleotide unclassified non-coding RNA is filed under the name uncultured Enterobacteriaceae bacterium. Its description in RNAcentral is "contains 16S-23S intergenic spacer region". It matches the Rfam family "Bacterial small subunit ribosomal RNA", at positions 524 to 776 of the family's 1533-position model. The record is from RNAcentral. Lineage: Bacteria; Pseudomonadati; Pseudomonadota; Gammaproteobacteria; Enterobacterales; Enterobacteriaceae.
UACAGAGGGUGCGAGCGUUAAUCGGAAUUACUGGGCGUAAAGCGCACGCAGGCGGUCUGUCAAGUCGGAUGUGAAAUCCCCGGGCUUAACCUGGGAACUGCAUCCGAAACUGGCAGGCUAGAGUGUGGUAGAGGGGGGUAGAAUUCCAGGUGUAGCAGUGAAAUGCGUAGAGAUGUGGAGGAAUACCGAUGGCGAAGGCGGCCCCCUGGACAAAGACUGACGCUCAGGUGCGAAAGCGUGGGGAGCAAACAGG